AAUAAACCAUUGAUGUGGAGAUCAAGAUUGUUGUGCACGUAAAGAGAGCCACCGCUGCUGAGAGUGUGGUCGAACGCAAACAGUUAAAUGGACCACAGAGGGUUCUUCUGAAAGUUACGAGUACGAAGAAACGUCAGACAUACGUCAGUUGUCGGGAGCGUGCUAGCGCUUUGCUAAGGGUGAUGACGGUCUUUUUGUCAUCAAAUUAAGGUGGUACCGCGGAAAAUCCGUCCUUAAA
This 238-nucleotide non-coding RNA is filed under the name Lentilactobacillus diolivorans. RNAcentral's name for it is "Lactobacillus diolivorans T-box sequence". It matches the Rfam family "T-box leader". From Rfam's summary of the family: Uncharged tRNA acts as the effector for transcription antitermination of genes in the T-box leader family. T-boxes are found upstream of many aminoacyl-tRNA synthetase genes and some amino acid biosynthetic genes usually in Gram-positive bacteria. The anticodon of a specific tRNA base pairs to a specifier sequence within the T-box motif, and the NCCA acceptor tail of the tRNA base pairs to a conserved bulge in the T-box antiterminator hairpin. The record is from RNAcentral. Lineage: Bacteria; Bacillati; Bacillota; Bacilli; Lactobacillales; Lactobacillaceae.